This is a long non-coding RNA of Phycodurus eques (leafy seadragon), 4573 nucleotides long. RefSeq lists it as uncharacterized. The transcript is spliced from 5 exons. The record is from RefSeq and is a predicted model, not a curated record. Lineage: Eukaryota; Metazoa; Chordata; Actinopteri; Syngnathiformes; Syngnathidae.
GAGUCAUAAUCUUUAUCCCCCGAUUUACUGUUCAUCCCUGUCCGCCUCUCCCACACUCUCCUUGUUUACAUCUAUUUUAUGGACUUCCGAUCUGACAGCCACACUUUGUUGCUCCCCAGACUAUAUGUCCUUUGGAUUUGGCUGUCUGAUAGUAUGCUUCAAGGGGUAAAGGGUACUUUUUUCCCCAGGAGAUGACGACAAACUUCUCAAACGUGACUCCAAAGACUGCCAAGGAGUUUGAAACAUCUGCAGCACACUUCCUGCUAACUUAGAUAUCUGUGCUUUUGACUUUUUCCAACUUCCGCGGAUGACGCCAAUGUCGUACAAAAGAUGUAAAUCGAGAGGUGAAGUCAACCACAGGAGCUGUUGUCAGUUCCGUUCUGAUGAUCCUGUCAGAAUUGAGCUUGCAGGAAAGCUGUGUCCAGUGGCUAAUAACAAACUGGAGGUAUGUUUAAGGAUCUAAUAGACAUUCACAGUCUUGCCUUCAGGCCUCCAGGUUAUAUUUUGGGGGUGGGGCUUCGAUGAAGGGUAAGUAUAUCCUCUUUGUUCUGGUCCACUCCACUCACGCCUGCUUUUGUCUCCACCCACUAAGACCCCAUCUCUCAACCGGAAGACGGGCGUUAUUUCCAGGGCAACCAGUGCAGGUAGUUUAGAGUAGUUGAGCCACUACAGCUCAUCUGUUUUUUUUUUGUUUUUUUUUUGGUGAGUGUAUUUUGGUCGAGCAUUUCCCGCCACUGAGGCGGCAGAGAGGGAGGGGCGUGGCCUCAGGCGGUAUGAAGAAAGGCAGCCUCCUCACAGCCUCGCGCCAAAAUGCCGGCGUUAUUUAAAUGAGCUCAGUGGGUGCGGCCCAACUGUCUCCGUGUCCUGUUAACCCCAUGUGAGCUUCAGUUUGGCGGUCACAACACAAAGCCCAUACAGGUCUCAUAACAAAAAACAAAAAAAAAACAUUAACAAAUGUUCUCCCGUCUGUCAGAUAAACAGCAGAGUCUCUUUGUUUUAUCAAACUUUUAAAAAUAACAACCUUUUUUUUUUCGAUGAUUAAUAAUUGAUCUGUACAUGAUGUGCUUGAUAUGCAUCCAGCAGGGAAAAAAAAGUGAAGUUUUCCCGUCUAUCGCGGGGUAUGGUAUACACGCUCCAGACCCACUCGUGAAAGGUGAAAAUCAACGAUAGUAAUAAUAAUAAUAAUAUAUACAUAGGUUAACCCCUCCUACACAGUUUAAACACAUUUAAACGUAUUAAAACACACUUAAACCUAUUAAUGCACACUUAAAAAAAAAAAAAAGUAUUCCUUAGCACCUGUUCUCACCUUUCUCCGUCAGGAAAUGGGAGGUUAUCUUCUUAUAUCACUUUGAGGAAAUGAAACGCUAACUCUCACUGACAUUGUUCCACAAAUAGGAGGCGAAUCGUACUUGCCUCGAGCUGUUUAUGUCACUUCCAGUUUAACUUUACGGUAAAAUGAACACAUAAACAAAAUAGAAUGAAACAUUAUAUAUUCAAAUGGCAAAAUGUUCAACCAAACAAUAUAAUUUCGUCUAAAAAAAAAAAAAAAGUCCGCUAGCUUAAUGCUAACAUAUAAUGUAAAAAUCAGGAGACAGGCUAACGGAAAUUAGCAUAGUUAUGCUGCAUCUACAGUACAUGCCGUAGAGCUCAGUUCUGCCUGGCAAGUUGUGGCACAACAACUUGGUACCAAAAUGAAAUGUUGUGCCGUGAACAACUCUAAAUUCAGUGGGUCUCUUAAUCUCUUAAUGUAAGAAGAGCGUGGUUGUGUACCUGCUCAGUGCUUUAUUUUAUGAUCUGGUGCUAUAUAAAUCAAAUUGAUUUGUAUUUCAUUGAACUAUUGAAAGCAUUUACACUUCCUUGUAAAGUGUAAAAAUGCAUUAGAAAGGCAAUAUGGCGGAGGUUUUGCGAAAGAUGAAUAGCGAUGUACACAAAAUGUAGCUGUCAGCACGAGGAACUGGUGGUUAGCAAGUCCGCCUCACGGUUCUGACCUUCGGGGUGCAACUCACAUCUCAGGGCUCCCUGUGUGAAUUUGCCAUGUUCUCCCCCUGCUUACGUGAAUUUACGCCAGCUUCCUACCACAUUCCCAAAACAUGUAUGUGAGAUUUAUUAAGGACUCUAACUUGUCCAUACGUCUGAAUGGUUGUCUGCCUGUAUGUGCCCAGUGAUUGACUCAUGGCGACCAGGAUUCAUGGCCUUUCACUCCAAGAAGCGUCAUGGAAAAUGGACGGGUAUUAGUUAUUCCAAAAAUAAUGAAAACCAAAAAAUUGCUUUUGUUUUUUUAAUAUGGGCAAUUACAAUUUAAGCUGAUUGACAAAAUCCAUUCAACCUAAUUGUACAGUACAACAAAUACAUAAACUUCCUCCCUUGUUGGGCCUUUCCUUCUCUUUGUUUUUGUUUUUUAAUUUCUUUUGUCUGCAGAAAGAAUGACCUGAAGAGCUGAGCGCGGCAGUUGACAUACUCGCCUGUCCUCUACUGCUCUCUAGUGGCUGCAAAACACAUCUCAAAGCACAUCAAAAUACGCACUUUUUAAAAUGUCUGUCUUUUAUUAUUUAAUUUUUUCAAUGCAAUCUUUUUCACUGCAUGCCAAUACUUGUGUCUUUGUUAUACGUGUCUUCCUCGCCAUUGCUUAUUGUCCAUAGUUAAAAAUGAAGAGACACACAUACACUAUUGCUUCCUCAUUCUGUUCAUUAUUAUUAUAUUAAUUAAUUGUAUUUAAAAGUAUUUAAAUUGUAUUCAGCAUAUUUAUUCAUGGUAUUCUAAAAUCUAAGGGACUAAGACUGCAAAGCUGAAGCUACAUGUCCUUAAUGCAUCACAUUUCCCCCAUUUUUCAAAGGCAAUGUUGUACUGUAUGUAUUAUUCCCAUUAAAUAAACAUGAAUGUAUUUGUAAUUUUAUGUCAUUAAUAAUUAAAAUAAAAAGUAAGACACACACACACACACACACUAGGUAGGCAAUCGCCCCCUAAUAUCACUUAGACCAUUUACGGCGUUCACGAAAAUAGGGCCCAUAGUGUCUAUCCCCAGCAGUACAAGUGCAGUAAGCCUGGUUGAGAUGUGGAUUUCAUUUCUAAUACCCUGGAUAGAAAGGCAAGGGGAGAACACGUAAACUCCACACAGGCGAGGCCGGGAUUUGAACCCCAGUCCUCAGAACUGUGAGGCAGAUGGGCGAAUCGGUCGUCCACCGUGCCGCCCUGUUGGUUUUCAGUCAGUCCAAAUUUCUGUCCUUUUUUUGUUACACCCCUUUGAAUGAUAACUGAAAUGCUCCCUAUUUGUCCAUCAACGAGUUGUUGUUAGCCUGUGGACAAAAGUAUAGGGACACACAUAUUUGUCAAUUCAUUCAUUGUAUCUGACCGGGGGAACCGAGGGGCUACUAUGGAUUCAGAAUUGUCUGUGUGCUGCCGUGUGCACAAAUAUUUUAUAUGUGAUCACAUGUGGUUCAAAUUGUCUAAGCUUGUCACAGUUCUUCCAAAAAUAAAUGGUAAAACGUUUUCCAAUCUUAGUGAAGUUAGGAAAUGGUUUCCCCCUCAUAGAUUCAACGUCUAAGAUUCAAAGACUGAGGCGACACUCGUGUAUUUAGGUAUUAAAAUGGAUUUUAAACAAGAUUUCAGCCAUCCUAAGGACCUAAGACUAAGUUGCAAGGGUUAGGGGUUGGUGACACACAGAAGUAGUACAAUAUGUUCAACCUUUUUAUUCCGCUGUGUGACGAACAAAGCAAGAAAUUACGCAUCCUGAGUAAUUCAUCUACAGUGACAUGAUUUUACUGGCUGCAAUGGUGUAACUUGUGGAGCAUCAUUUAAAGGAUUCUAAAUAAAUGGAGCAUGCUCGACGGGAAGAGGUCUUCUAUAACAGUCCACACAUUUCUAAUUAAUUACGACCUGUGUAGACAUCGUAUUUUCAUUUGAAACUCGAUUCAUUAUUCGUCAUAUCAAGAAUUUGGGACAAUUACCCGUAUGGACUUUGGAGGAAGAGAUUGGCGAAGAUGCUUUUCUGUUAAAGAAUGAUUGUGUCCCUGGGUACAAAGGAAGGCCCAAGUGGGCGUUCUUGGAUGAGUCUGGAGUAGAUGACCCCCAUUUACACCAAAAAUGUGAUUUAUUGUACAGAACAGAGAUUGUGAUUGUGGCAAGCCCUCAACAUCAGUGACAGCACAAAUAUCCGUGUGGAUAAAUGGAAAACAAAUCCCAACCUCCAAAAACAUGUAAAGAGUCUUAUCAUAUAGCUUCUGUACGGCAAGUCUGGACUAAAAGCAGGAGUUGGGGGUCCAAGCGGAAGUAUGAUAAUACAAUUAUAAAUUACACACACACACAAUGGUUGGGUGGCUAACAUAAUUGACCUCUGUGCAGCGGGCCUGUGAUCAAGGCCUGAUGUCCAGAGUGUACUUGACCUUCUGCCUAACGUCAGCUAGGAUGCGUUCCAGGCCCUGCUGUGACUCCGAGCAUGAUAAAGGCUCGUGAAGAUGGAUGGAUGGAUAUUCAGGAAGCAUGAAUCAGGGACCCCUCCCACUUCAUUGAGUCCCAACCAAGAUGUCUACUCAGCCUCUUCUACCCAGAAGCCCUUUCUGUACUGCUCUAAAUUGGU